CCAUAUCAUAUUGAAUCAUUGAUUCUCAUAAGAUCACUGAAGUUAAGCAAUAUUGAGCCUGGUUAGUACCUUGAUGGGUAACCGCUUGGGAAUACCAUGUGCUGUAAG
Molecule: non-coding RNA, 108 nt
Organism: Acanthosepion pharaonis
Lineage: Eukaryota; Metazoa; Mollusca; Cephalopoda; Sepiida; Sepiidae
Source: the annotation of a GenBank genome assembly